GCAAACUUGGUCAUUUAGAGGAAGUAAAAGUCGUAACAAGGUCUCCGUUGGUGAACCAGCGGAGGGAUCAUUACCAGAGUUGCCUUUAGGCUCUCCAACCCACUGUGAACAUACCUACGUUCCCCCGGCGGGCUCAGCGCGCGGCGGCCUCCGGGCCCCGCGCGUCCGCCGAGGGCACCCAAACUCGAUUUUUUACUCGUGUAUCUCUGAGGGGCGAAAGCCCGUAAAACAAAAUGAAUCAAAACUUUCAACAACGGAUCUCUUGGCUCUGGCAUCGAUGAAGAACGCAGC
This 291-nucleotide unclassified non-coding RNA is filed under the name uncultured fungus. RNAcentral describes it as "partial contains small subunit ribosomal RNA, internal transcribed spacer 1, and 5.8S ribosomal RNA". The stretch from base 1 to 73 matches the Rfam family "Eukaryotic small subunit ribosomal RNA", at positions 1759 to 1831 of the family's 1831-position model. Lineage: Eukaryota; Fungi. The record is from RNAcentral.